Non-coding RNA from Chrysemys picta bellii (western painted turtle), 426 nucleotides. The record is from the annotation of a RefSeq genome assembly. Lineage: Eukaryota; Metazoa; Chordata; Testudines; Emydidae.
AUGGGAUUUUUGCUCCUUGUAAUUUUUGCUGUAGCAGCUUUGGAAGGUGUCCAGUCGCAGGUGCAGCUGGUGGAGUCCGGAGGGGAUGUGAAAAAGCCCGGAGACUCUCUCCGCCUCUCCUGCAAAGCCUCCGGGUUCACCUUCAGCGAUUACUGGAUGAGCUGGGUCAGACAGGCCCCUGGGAAGGGACUGGAAUGGGUCGCUAAUAUACACUACGGUGGGAGUACAUACUACCUUGAUUCAGUGAAAGGCCGAUUCACCAUCUCCAGGGAUAAUUCCAAGAGUGAGCUGUAUCUGCAAAUGACCGGCCUGAAGCCCGAGGACACCGCCCGCUAUUACUGUGUGCAGGGUUACUGCUUUGGGAACCAGAGCCAGCACAAGGUCCUCUUCAGCUACCGUGCCCUGCCACCUAAGGCCCUUUUGUAG